Molecule: small RNA, 624 nt
Filed under: Pan troglodytes (chimpanzee)
Lineage: Eukaryota; Metazoa; Chordata; Mammalia; Primates; Hominidae
Description: processed transcript
Source: RNAcentral
CUAAAUAGAUCAAGGGACUCUAAUACUACUUAGAGUAAUGGGUUGAAAUUUAGUUCAAUUAUUUUCAAAUUAUAUGUCUGCACAAUAUUUGCAGAAUAACAAUACUUCUGAAAACACUUUGAAACGAGUGAGUUCUCUUGCUGGAUUUACUGACUGUCACAGAACUUCCAUUCCUGUUCAUUCAAAACAAGAAAAAAUCAGUAGAAGGCCAUCUACCGAAGACACUCAUGAAGUAGAUUCCAAAGCAGCUUUAAUACCGGAUUGGUUACAAGAUAGACCGUCAAACAGAGAAAUGCCAUCUGAAGAAGGAACAUUAAAUGGUCUCACUUCUCCAUUUAAGCCAGCUAUGGAUACAAAUUACUAUUAUUCAGGUCAGUAAUAUUAAAAACAAAAUUUAAUAGUAUUUUGAACCUUUACAGAUUUCAUUAUUUCUCUCUCAUUUUUAUGCAGCUGUGGAAAGAAAUAACUUGAUGAGGUUAUCACAGAGCAUUCCAUUUACACCUGUGCCUCCAAGAGGGGAGCCUGUCACAGUGUAUCGUUUGGAAGAGAGUUCACCCAACAUACUAAAUAACAGCAUGUCUUCUUGGUCACAACUAGGCCUCUGUGCCAAAAUAGAGUUUUUAA